AAACCCUUGAACGGCGGUAAACGCUCGUUAACGACCGGAUCAUUAUUUUAAUUAUUAUUAUUAUUGUACGUGAACACGAGCUAAUUCCCCGGUGAAGGGAAGGGGGGCGAAUCUUCGCAUCUGAUGCCCAGCAUCCAGGUUUCGGUAUUUACAUAAUCCGAGUGUUUCCAUAGUCACACCGGAAGCGGCGAUUUAAAAACCAGAUCGCUUUAUGUAACGCCGCGAUGGAUGCGCAGCCCCCGCGCGCUCCCCCCGCCGCCCCGCACGCUCGACAACGCCGAAAGCGCGGGGGUCCGCGGCCGAGGGGCAGCAACGAGUCCAAUGCGGGGGGAUGCAGGGUAGGCCCGGCGGAGGCCGGUGACGCUGCCCCGGGGAAGCUGCGGCGGGCGCGGAGACGGGGCUGGAGGCGGCGGGGACCGGCCGUGCACAAGGAAAGGAAUGUUUCUGUCAAAGCCACAACACUGAGGCUCGGAAUCUCAAAAUGACACACCGGUCUGGUUUGGAAAAGGGCAUGAGAUUAAAUGCCUUUGCUGAUUCUCCAGCAAAGGCAUUUCAUUUUUUUCAUACUGUUUCUGUGAAUGAAAUACAAACUCAGCAGAA
Serinus canaria (Common canary) is the source of this 600-nucleotide long non-coding RNA. RefSeq lists it as uncharacterized. Lineage: Eukaryota; Metazoa; Chordata; Aves; Passeriformes; Fringillidae. The transcript is spliced from 2 exons. The record is from RefSeq and is a predicted model, not a curated record.